RNAcentral lists this transfer RNA (67 nucleotides) under Tapeinus singularis. RNAcentral describes it as "tRNA-Pro". The record is from RNAcentral. Lineage: Eukaryota; Metazoa; Arthropoda; Insecta; Hemiptera; Reduviidae.
CAGUAAGUAGUUUAUGUCAAAAUAUUAAUUUUGGGGAUUAAAGAUGAGUGUAAUUACUUUUUACUGA